UUCAAGAGAGUUCUCAGAGUUAUCUAUGGCAGAGCUUUGAUCAUCCAACAGACUCAAUGUUAGCAGGAAUGAAGAUAGGCAGGAACUUAAAGAUUGGCUUAGAACGAUAUUUAAAAUCAUGGGAAAGUGUUGAUGAUCCAUCUAUCAGAGAUUUCACUUACAGAAUUGAAGUUCGUGGGCUGCCUCAAAUGGUUGUUAGCAUGGGAUCUGAAAAAAGGCAUCGCUCUGGGCCAUGGAAUGGAACUCAAAACAAUGGUCUCCCAAUGGGCCAGCUUUUGUAUUUACUGAGGAUGUGUUGUUUAUACUGCAUGAGCCUAACAAUGAACCACUCAGGUUUGCUCCAGCGUCUUGUUUUGCACCCAAGAAGCUCUGAAUGGGUUGUCAUGUACUCAAAUCCCGAUGACCCUUCUGACAGGUAUGGGCAGUGUGGUGUUAAUGACAUUUGCAAAAUCAACAAGUCACCAAUUUGCGAGUGUUUGACAGGGUUUGCACAAAAAUCACAAGAGAAAUGGAAAGUACUUGAUGCAUCUGAUGGUUGCAUGCGAAGAAUGUCGUUGGGCUGCCAUAGUGGAGGGGUGUUCGUAAAGGUUGCAGGAGUAAAAUUUCCCGACUUGAUAAGAGUGUCAUUUGCAUAAGAGUAUGAGCCUUAAGGAAUGAGAGGUGGAGUGCUUGAAGAAUUGUUCAUGUACAGCAUAUGCUAAUUCAAAUUUUAAUGGAAGCUGUUUGAUGCGGUUGGGUGACUUAAUCGAUAACAGAGAGUUGACUUCAGAAAAGAGUGGUUAUUCGGUUGCUUGGUGUGUGCAGGUCACAGAUACUUGGGGCGUUGCUCAUUUUUUUAUGCGGUUCAAUUUUCAUAUGCUAGUUAGGGAAUGUUUGGUUUAGACGAGUGCUUGUUAAGAUAUUUGCAUACUGUAUUUGAGGGUAUUGAGAAGGUUUAUGUAAUUUGUAUUUUGUCACAAAAUGAUUAAAAAAAAAAGGGAGACUAUUGGCACAUUAGGCUAUGUAGCUUAAGAUUUGCGUACAGUUUUGUUUUAUUCAUUAGGAUUUAAGAUCUUUUUAGAGUGUCUUAUUUUUCAUUUAAGACUUGAGGUUGCUAGCUACUUGAUUCAACUAGGGUGACACAGAUAAACAUAGAAAGUUUCAAAAAAAGGCAACUCAGUGAUUGUUAAGGUGUGGGAUACACCUAGGUUUUAAAAUUGAACUAAAAAUUAUUUAAUUUGUGCUUGAAAACUCCUUAGUGCUCAAGCAUUGAGAAGCACUCAAGCACUCGAGUCUUUUAAGGGCGCUCAAGCACUAAGGAGCACUCAAGUACUCAAGUCUUCUAAGGGCACUUGCUUAUGGAAGAAUUCUCCUAAAUUCUAGUGAUCGGUCUUUUCCAUUUUAAAAAGGCUUAUUUUUAACAAUUGUCUAGAUCCAUUCAUGAGAUUUUCCUAGGCCCAUACAAAUUUUGCCUAAAAAGGUUCUUGGGUUGAUGCUUUUGAGUUAAACAAAUAUAUAUAUAGAUAAAAUUUACCUUCAUGUUCCCAAAACUCUUAAAGAAAUUCAUUGUUACUUUUAGGGUUGUGAAGCAGAUCUACAUCCCCUUGAUCCACUAAGAGCACACGAGGUGAUGCGUCAUUGACAUGAAGUGGAGUGUACAUGCUAGGGAGUAAGACUUAGGAAUAACUUAUGUUACGUAAAAUUGUGUAUUGUACUUUCAUAUAUUGGAUUAACAAUUUGAGAUCUUUAACUCGGUGGCUUUUACAACCACACAUUACGUGAAACAAUGGUUUGUACAUCUCUUUUAAGUGUUACAUAUACUAGCUAGAUGAUAAAACUUUUGAGCCUCUAUUAUCUCUACUAUAGAGACUUCAAAGCAAAAUGAGUGAAAAAUUAUUAAUAGGCCCUUGUGCUUGGCUUAGGAUCAAUUUCAUCAAAUAUUUUAGGAGAGACAACAUAUAACAAGUCAAAAAGUAGAUAAUUACAACUAAUUUGCUUGUAUGUUUGUGUUUUUAUUAAACAAUUCUAGUUUAAAAAGUGUUUUUGACAAAAAAAAUUUAGGUAUUUGAUAAAAUUUAAAAAAACACUUCUACAAAAUUGAAAAAUAAUUUGUAGUGUUUCAUGGAGAAACACUUUAUAAAUAAUUUUUUUAAAAACACUUAAAAAAAAAUGUUUUCACUAAAAAUACUAUGAUGAGAAAAACUAAAACACACUCUUUAUCAUUCCAUCAAUAUUUUCAUCCUUAGCAUUCUAGGCUCAAGAAACUUCCUAUACGAAUUGGAAAUGUCAUAGAAGGAAAUAUAUUUAGAAGGGAAUCCUGACAAAAAGUCUUUCAAAGCCCCUACAUGAUGUUUGAGUGAUACUUGGUCUCUACAUUGAACGGGUUUUUUUUCCUAUAUCCCCUAGAGACAAAAAAAAUCGGAUAUAAUUUCAAAUGGUUUUCCAAAUAAUGAAUGGGAGGUUCCAAGACUUUAAGGGGAAGAAAAGCAGCAGCCCUGUUGGGGAAAAUCACAUUCGUCAGCAUGAAUAGGAUGAGGGUGCUUGCUACUUAAUGGUUCCACUUAGUAAUUAAAUUUAGUACAAAUUUAAUCAUGUUGGGCUGAUGGACCACAACUACACCAGCAACAAAAGGCGGUUGCAACAACAGAACUCAACAAAACCCAGAUCACUCAAGAACUAUGCAAGUAGUUAGGAAUCUGGUAGUGUAUUUUGAAUUGUGCAAGUAGUUAGAGUCUAGUAACGUAGUUUGUUACAAUAAAAAAUAUAAAUAGCAGAGUAAAGAACCUCUCCAUGAUAUAUGAUUUCUUCCUCUUAAUAUAUAGAAACUAGAUUUUCAUCUUCCUGAUACAAACUUUCAUGGUAUCAGAGUUGCCCCUCUUCAUAUCUCCUUCUCUUUGCAUCAGUUUCAUGAUUUCACCAUGACAAUCUCAACUCAAUCCUCUGGGAUACAAGUUGGAGCUGCCAAUUCAUCCUCAACCAUAGCUUAGUCAAUGCAGAUGUUGAAUCAUGCACUGCCCAUUAAACUUGAUAAAGAUAACUACAUGUUGUGGAUAACCCAAAUGGAGAACUUGAUCUAUGCAAACGGCUUGAAGAUCAUGUUGAAGGUCCUACAGUCCGUCCUUCAAAAACAACAAGCAAUGGUGAAACAAAUCCAGAAUUUAUUCUUUGGCAAAGAUUUGACUGAAUGAUCCUCAGUUGGAUUUACUCCUCACUUAUUCCAGAAAUUAUGGGACAAAGAAUAGGGUAUCAAACCUCCCAUGAAGCAUGGUUUUCUUUGGAAAAGAUUUUCUCGGCUUCAUCCAAAGCUCGGGUGAUGCAAUUACAACUAGAAUUUCAGACCAUGAAGAAAGGAUCUCUUUCAAUGAUGGAUUACAUCCUCAAGUUGAAGAAUCUGGCUGACAGCUUAGCUGCCAUUGGAGAACCAGUACACAAUAGAUAUCAUAUUCUGAAACUGCUAGGAGGGCUUGGUGUAGAAUAUAAUUCCAUUGUGGCCUCUCUUAUAGUAAGAGAAGAUGAAGUUUCACUACAUACGGCGCAUAGGAUUCUAUUAACCUAUGAACAACGCUUGAAUCUUCAAAAUUCAACAAAAGACAAUGUAAUCUCUACAAAUCUCACUACCACGUCGUCAUAUCACCACAAAAACAGAAGGAAUUCCAAUCGAAAUUUCUUAGGAAACAAUAGUAGAAUCUUCAACCCUGGACGUAACUCUCAUGCAAACAGAAACUCAACCUCUCAAAAUUGCCCUCAAUGUCAACUUUGUGGAAAGUUUGGACAUGUUGUGGAUCAGUGUUAUCAUCAUUUCGAUAUAAACUUCCAAGGGGUAAAUAACAAUUUUGAAACCAAGUCCCAUGUAACUAACAAUAACCAAGAUCAAGCCCACGCCAUGAUAACAUCUCCUACCCACUCAUCAGCUUUCUCAAACCACAUCUCUGGACAAUUUACAAUCAUAUAAUGGCAAUGACAAGGUGACAAUCGGGAAUGGUACGCAACUUCCCAUUCUUCAUACUGGUACUAAAAUUUUUCAGUUUCCUUCUAAAGUGUUUCAGUUAAAAAGAGUUCUUCAUGCACCUCAUCUUGCAACCAAUCUUGUUAGUGUCUCUCAAUUCUAUGUUGACAACAAUACAUUUGUUGAGUUUCAUCCUCAGUUCUUUUUUGUCAAAGAACAAGUUACCAAGAAAGUUCUUCUUGAAGGUCAUCUUGAACGAGGAUUAUAUAAGUUUCCUACCAUUUUUAGCUCCUCUACAGAUUGCUUGUUCUUCAACUUCAACAACUCUUCAUUUUCAAAUUCCACGACUGAGCUUUGACAUUCUCGAUUGGGCCAUCCUGCUGAAGAUAUAUUUUGAAACAUGCUCUCAACAAUUGUAAUAUCCCUUAUCAAUAUAAUAAACUCCAAAUUUGUUGUGUCUACCAAUAUGCCAAAAGUCACAAGCUACCAUUUUCGUUGUCUAUGUCAAGAGCAUCUCAUCCUUUAGCACUUGUUCAUGCUGAUAUCUGGGGUCCUGCAUCCACUCCAUAUACUUUUGGUGCACGAUUUUUUCUACUACUCAUAGAUGAUUUCUCAAGAUUUUCUUGGAUUUAUCCACCACACACCAAAGAUUAAGAACUUCCGAUGUUGUAAAAUUUCGCACUUCAGUGGAAAAACAGCUUGACUUCAAAAUUAAGAGCCUACAAUCAGAUGAUGGUGGUGAAUUCAAAGCAUUUUCUUCCUAUCUUGUUGCUCAUGGCAUAGAACACAGGUUUUCCUACCCAUACACACCUGAACGGAAUGGGUGAGUCGAGCGGAAACUGAGACAAGUUACAGAAACUGGUCUUGCUCUUCUAACUAAAGCCUCCUUACCUCUCUCUUUUUGGUUGUAUGCUUUCCAUACUGCUAUAUUUCUCAUCAACUGUCUACCUACCAAGAUGCUUAAAUAUCAAUCUCCCUUUCAAACUCUUUUUGGGAAAACUCCUUAUUAUCAUUUUCUCAAGACAUUCGGUUGUCUUUGCUACCCAUAUAUUCGACCAUAUAAUAAGCACAAAUUGCAAUAUCGUUCUACUCUGUGCAUCUUUCAUGACUAUAGCAACACUCACAAGGGAUAUUUAUGUUUCGAUCCAAAAACUACCAGAUUAUACAUAACCAGACAUGUUGUCUUUCAUGAAUCAAUCUUUCCAACUCUAUCACCUUCAACUUCUUCUAAUCCUAGUUUUUUUCCGUUUCCACUCCUGUUUUUCUUCCCAUACACAUGUCUCCUUCUCAUGCUUUACAUUCUAUUGAUGCUCAACAACAUAACCCCACACCUUUGUCUUCAUCACUUCACUUAUCUUUUGACCACAUCCUUCCUACUAUACAUAACAAUGUUCCUCAACAUCCUCCCAUUAUUAAUAGUCAUCUUAUGAUCAUGCGUGCCAAGGAUGGCAUUAUAAAAAAGAAGGCCUUCUUGUCUCACAUGCCCAUGGAACUAGCAACAUUUGCUUAGGCUUCCAAAAGUAUCUACUGGACCAAGGCUAUGCAACAAGAGUAUGAUGCUCUACUAAAAAUGGAAACAUGGAAUCUAGUUCCUACUCCUCCAAAUGCCAAUAUUAUUGAUUGCAAAUGGGUCUACAAAUUAAAACAUAACCCAGAUGGCACCAUUGCUCAUUCCAAGGCUCGCCUAGUUGCCAAAGGUUUUACCCAAACACAUGGCCUUGACUACUUUGAGACUUUCAGCCUCGUUGUCAAAGCUUCAACCAUCAGAAUAGUGCUUGCUCUAAUUAUCUCAUAUAAUUGGACAAUUCGUCAGCUUGAUGUAUAGAACGCCUUCCUCAACGGUGACCUCCAAGAGCAGGUCUUCAUGAGCCAACCACCUGGUUUUAUCAACACCCGGUUUCCUACUCACGUCUGCAAACUUAACAAAGCCAUUUAUGGGCUUAAGAAAACUCCUAGAGCAUGUUACACCAAGCUCGGUCAUGCUCUUCUUGGCUGGGGUUUUCAAGCUUCCUGUGCAAAUAGCUCCAUGUUUUUUCCUCACAUUGCCAACGAUGUGCUUAUCUUGUUAAUCUAUGUUGAUGACAUCCUCGUAAUAGGUAGUGACCCUCAUCGUGUUUCUUCAUUUGCUUCUUGUCUUAAUGCUACAUUUGCUCUUUCGAGAUCUUGGUCAUUUUCACUAUUUUCUUAGUCUGGAGAUUAUGCAAGCAGAAAACUCAGUCCAUUUAAAUCAACACAAAUAUGUCCACGAUCUUCUUCAAAGUACCAGUAUGUUUGAAUCCAAGUAUGCUUCUACACCUGGUAUGGUUGGUCAAAAUUUAUCCAAACAUGAUGGAGGUCAUUUCCAUGAUGUCACACUAUAUCAGAGCAUAGUUGGUGUUAUUCAAUAUCUCACUCUCAUAAGACCUGAUAUUUCAUUUGUUGUCAACAAGGAGUGCCAGUUUAUGAGUAGCCCCUCCAACACACAUUGGCUUGCUGUAAAAUGCAUCUUACGCUACCUCAACUUAUGGUCUUUCCAUGUAACCAUCUUCCGCGUUGGACAUUCAAGCAUACAUUGAUGUCGAUUGGGCUUCUUGUCCAAAUGACAGAAGAAGCACUAGUGGCUAUUGUAUUUUCAUUGGACCAAACUUGGUUUCAUGGUCAUCCACUAAGCAGAAAAUUGUUUCAAGGAGCAGUGCGGAAUCUGAGUAUCGUGGACUAGCUGUUGCCACUUUCGAGAUUGCCUGGAUUCAAUCUCUACUCACCGAGUUAUGUCUUUCUCCUACAAUACCACCAAUUCUUUGGUGUGACAACCAAAGUGCUACCCAUCUUGCUGCCAAUCCUGUUUUUACACACCAACAAAGCAUAUUGAACUCGACCUUCAUUUUAUUCGUGAUAAAGUUCUUCAGAACCAACUCCAUAUUCAGUAUCUUCCUUCUUCCGACCAAAUUGCUGACAUCUUCACCAAACAUAUCUCAAGUUCUUAGUUUUUUUAGCUUUCGGACCAAAUUCUCUAUUGUUUCCAAACCCAUGAGCUUGCGGGGGGAUGAUAGACCACAACUACACCAGCAACAAUCACAACUGCACCAGCAACAGAAGGCAGUUGCAACAAUAGAACUCAACAAGACCCAGAUCACUCAAGAACUGUGCAAAUAGUUAGGAAUCUGGUAGUGUAGCUUGAACUGUGCAGGUAGUUAGAGUCUGGUAACAUAGUUUGUUACAGUAAAAAAAUAUAAAUAGCAUAGUAGAGAACCUCUCCAUGAUAUGUAAUUUCUUCCUCUUAAUAUACAGAAACUAGAUUUUCAUCUUCCUGAUACAAACUUUCACGGGCCAACCUAAUGUUGUUUAAUCUAUUUAACCGUGGAAAUUAGGGAAGUCUUUGAAGAAAAUGAUGGUCAACUUCUUCUACAUUAGAUUAUGCUUUACCUACGGACUAUGCUUUUAAGUCUCAAGACAUUUUGAGAGCCAAUUUUGUUUUUUCCGUUAAGAUAUGGUUAAACCUCGAUAAAUUGAUAUAGGUUUGCUCUAUGGAAAAUCUAUGAAUUAAGCUAAUAUUACUUACUCAUGUGAACUAAUGCAGCUUGAACAUGGCCUACCGAGUCAACAUCAUAAUUAGGUAUGGGUAUAACAACCAAAUACAGAAAGGGGUCCGAGUCCAAUAUAGACAUACUAGUCCCUGUCACGAAAAAGAUGUAGAUGAAGUUGUCAAGGGUCAGUAUAGAAGCUCCGAUGCAAGUGUUUCCUCUUGGUUUUUUCAGAAUUGUAAAUGGAGGGGCUUCCUUUCUUCACCUUCUUUUGCUCUUUGAUUUCUUCCUCAAUCUUCUUGAAAUUUUGUGUCGCAUCAGAUACCAUAACUCCAACCCAGUCCAUGGUUGAUGGUGAGACUUUAGUUUCAUCAGGCCAAAGGUUUGAACUAGGCUUCUUCUCGCCUGAAAACUCCAAGAACAGGUACCUAGGAAUAUGGUACAAGAGUGCCCCACAUACAGUUGUGUGGGUGGCAAACAGAAACAACCCCAUCACAGAUUCACAUGGAGUUUUAACUAUCAGCAUAAACGGAACACUUGUUCUUCUCAACCAGGAAGGGAGCGUGGUCUGGUAUUCGGGUUUAUCAGGAAUAGCAGAAAAUCCAGUUGCACAGCUCCUAGACUCUGGAAACUUUGUUCUGAGAGAUAGUCUUAGCAAGUGUUCUCAAAGCUAUCUCUGGCAGAGCUUUGAUUACCCAUCUGACACACUGUUAGCUGGCAUGAAGCUAGGCAGGACCUCCAACCCUGAUCUAGAACGAUAUUUGAUAUCAUGGAAAAGCCCUGAUGAACCAUCCAAUGGAGACUUCACUUGGAGAUUAGAUACUCCCAGGCUGCCUCAACUGGUUGUUGCAACGGGAUCAACCAAAAAGUACCGCACUGGGCCAUGGAAUGGAAUUCGAUUUAGUGGUAUUCCGGUGUUUCCCAACGAGCAGCACUAUUCACACAUAAUGAUCUUUGAUAAGGAGAAUGCAUAUUACAUGCUUUCAUUUGACAACUACUCUGCUAAUACGAGAACAACCAUCAAUCACUCAGGCUUCAUCCAAUGGCUUCGAUUGGAUGAACACAAUGCGGAGUGGGUUCCUUUGUACAUAUUACCAUAUGACCCAUGUGACAAUUAUGGACAGCGUGGUGCUAAUAGCAUUUGCAGGAAUUCCAGAACACCAAUCUGAUUAAUAAACCUACAAAAUCAUUCAAAUUGGAUUUGAUUAAACCCAGGUAUCAUAGACAUUCCCUCAUUUCCACCUCGGAACAUUUUUUGUUUCCCAUUUAUCGAAAAAAAUCUCAUUAUUGUAAUUGGAUUGGUUCAUUCUUCAUCAAAUCAUAUGGAUCGAUCAAGAUCUAGCAAUGAUGGAAUUUAUAAAUCGCAUGAAGUUUUACCCAACUCCAUAAAUCCAAUCUAAUGCAUUAAAUACAUAUGAUUGGAGGAAUAAAGAGAAAUCAUCUACGUUUCAGCUACUCAUAAGUUCUCUGCACACAUACAAACACAAGGGAAAGUGAGGAAUGAAGCAAUUAAACCAAAGUGAUUUAACAAUUUUUUAUUGUGAAGAAGAAUUUAGUAUUUUAAGCUUUAGUUUGACUCAAUUUUUUCCGUUCACUUGGAAAAAAUUGAAUCUGAAGCUACCUAGAAGCUAACCAGAAAGGACAUGUCAUCAUUGUUCUUUUAACUAUAAAUUUUAUUUUGGGCAUGGCCUAGGUUGAGAAAGGUCCAAUAAGGAUUAGAAAAGUCAUGGAAAGAGAUGUAUAUAGAAGGGAAUCUCAAUAUAUAAAAGUGAUAAAUCAAGUUCAUUCGUCCGCAUGAAAAGGACCAGGGUCGACUUCAUAAUAGUUCCUACUUUCAAAGCGUGGAAAUUAGGGAAGGCAAUUGCGGUCGUGUUCUGCCACCUAGGGUAGGUAAGACCAUUGCAUUUGACUCUCUACCUCAUGUUCAUGUGAUGAUUAUGACGUAGGUGGACAACUGUUUUAUCAGAUUAGAAGCAUAGAAUUCCAAGAAUAUUGAAGACAAAUCAAGGGCAAAAGAAGGCGAAGAUUAACAGAUGGAUUAUUACUCAGAAAGGAAACUAAGGGUGAAUCUUCCCAGACAAUGACACAGAAAUGGGUGAUGGGUGCUGCCGUCCCUUUUUCAAGGCUGCUGUAUCCCAUACAGUUAAUCAAUCUGUACGAAAUUAAUGUUUUAUUGUUUUAAGAGACUUCAAUUUUGUUCAAACCUCUCACCAGUCUUAUGGUGUAUAAUCCUGUGAAAUUAUAACUGAAAAAAGUACUACCCUCCACCUCCAGAGUAUAUAGUCAUCCCAUCUUAGACUCGGUAACAGAUGAUUCACAUAGGCUCUUUCCUUAGGACUAAUAUGGAAUGAAUUCAGGUAAAUGGAGAUAGAUGUUUAUCAAAUUAACAGAGGCAAACCAGACAUCAAGAUUGGCGUGCCAAGCAACCAUUGAGAUGCUAAAGUUCCAGGCCCUAUGACACAAACUCAUUUCAGACAGUAUGAUCUUCUGACUUCCCUUUUUUAAAAAGAAACAUUCAAUUAGGGAACACUUAGGAGGACUCUACAAUUUUAUAUUUCAGUAAGUUGUUUUUCAUUGGACUUGGAAAAUUCCUAGUCACCCUGUUGAGACAGUUCUUCCAAUUGAAAUGCUUAAGCCCUUAAACCUACAUAACGUCAGUACUUUUUUUUUUAAGUAGUGUAUAGAAGUAUUUCUUUCAUCUCUGAGAAACGUUCGAUGGAGACCCAUCUUUUCUUGGCCUUCUUUUGUGCCGGGAUCUGUCUCUCAGUUCCCUUGGAGUUCUGUAUUGCAGCUGAUUCCAUAAGGAUGGACCAAUCCAUAAGCGAUAGUGAGACUUUAGUUUCCUCGGGCCAAAGCUUUGAACUAGGCUUCUUCUCUCCUGGAAGCUCCAAAAACAGGUACUUGGGAAUAUGGUACAAGAAUACACCCCAGACAGCUGUAUGGGUUGCAAACAGAAACAACCCAAUUGCAGAUUCUUACGGAGUUUUAACCAUCAUCAACAAUGGGGCACUUGUUCUUCUCAACCAGUCAAAGAGUGUAAUCUGGUCUCCCAAUUUGUCAAGGGUGCCAGAAAAUCCAGUUGCACAGCUCCUGGAGACUGGAAAUCUUGUUCUCAGGGACGGUAGUAAUGAAACUUCUAAAAGCUAUAUAUGGCAGAGCUUUGAUGAUCCAUCAGACACAAUGUUGCCAGGCAUGAAGGUGGGAUGGAACUUAAAGACUGGUCUACAACGAAAAUUGACAUCAUGGAAAAGUUCUGAUGACCCAUCCCUUGGAGACUUCUCCUACGGAUUUGAUAUUAAUGUGCUGCCUUACCUGGUUCUCGGUGUGGGAUCAAGCAAAAUAGUCCGUUCCGGGCCAUGGAAUGGACUUGAAUUCAAUGGUGUUUAUGUGUUGGACAACUCGGUUUACAAAGCAGUUUUUGUUGCCAACAACGAUGAGGUAUAUGCCCUCUAUGAGUCUAACAACAAUAAGAUCAUUUCAAGACUAACAUUGAACCAUUCAGGUUUCCUCCAGCGUCUGCUAUUAAAAAAAGGGAGCUCUGUAUGGGAUGAAUUGUACUCCAUUCCCAGUGAACUUUGUGAAAAUUAUGGCCAUUGUGGUGCUAAUGGUAUCUGCAGAAUUGGCAAGCUGCAGAUUUGUGAGUGUUUGACAGGUUUCACACCAAAAUCACAAGAAGAAUGGGACAUGUUUAAUACAUCAAGUGGAUGCACACGAAGAAUGCCUUUGGAUUGCCAAAUUGAAGAGGGAUUUGUAAAGGUUACAGGGGUGAAAUUGCCCGACUUGAUAGACUUUCAUGUGAUUAUGGGUGUGAGCCUUAGGGAGUGUAAGGUAUCGUGCUUGAACAACUGUUCUUGUACAGCAUAUGCCUACACAAAUCCUAAUGGAAGCGGUGGCUGUUUGAUGUGGUCUGGGGACCUGAUUGAUAUCAGAGAGUUAACUUCAGAAAAACAUGCAGAGGACAUCUAUAUCCGCAUGCACACUUCAGAGCUAGGUAAGACACUUGAUUUUCUGAAAAUCACUUUUUGAUUGUAAGCUAUUGGGUUGUCUCCAAUAGCCUAAGCCCUAAGUUAUCCUGGUAAAUCAAGAUGCAGAAUUACUUAGAUUCCAAAGUCAGAGAUUCAAUUUCACAAGAAGAUUAUAAUCUAGUUAAAACCAAGACCCUAUAUUAUAUUCCAGAAGAACCAUAGCUGUUAGGAUUCAGGUUAACUAAUGAUGAACUGACUUGUAAAAACCCUAACAAGCAGAAAGCAAACAUCCAAUUCAUUUUCUGAAGAAACAGGGGAAUCUGGGGAAAUGGUUACUUCAUUCUUGUUACUGUCUGUUCCAGGGUUAAACACUAAUCAGAAGAAGAAAAAACUAGUGAUCAUCCUUGUUAUAUCUACCUUUUCUGGAAUCCUCACCUUGGGCUUGUCAUUCUGGUUUCGAUUUUGGAAGAAGAGAACAAUGGGAACAGGUAUGCAUACAAAUCCACCUAGAUGAUUUUAUUGAAGGAAAACCAUGUGGUAGUGCUUUAAAAGCAGCUUCUAAAUUAUUAUCCCAUUUAACAGACCAGGAAAGCAAGAAGGAGAACUUAGAGUUACCUUUGUUUGACUUGCCCACCAUUGCAACUGCUACUAACAACUUCUCUAACACCAACAAGAUUGGAGCAGGUGGCUUUGGGUCUGUGUACAAGGUAAUAUGCGCCCUCUUAUGCAUCAUUGCAUCUUGGUAACCCAAAAAUGAUUUCAAAAGAAAGAAGAAGAGAAAAUAUUUGCAUCUUACACAUCAUAUUUUGCAGGGCAAUCUACCAGAAGGAGUAGCAGUUGCAGUGAAGAGAUUGUCCAAGAAUUCAGCACAGGGUGUUCAAGAGUUCAAGAAUGAAGCUGUUUUGAUUGCAAAACUUCAGCACAAGAAUCUUGUCAGGCUUUUGGGCUGCUGCAUUCAAGGAGAAGAAAGAAUAUUACUCUACGAAUAUAUGCCCAACAAGAGCUUGGAUUAUUUUAUUUUCGGUUUGAGCUUCUUAUCCCUAUCUGCUAGUAUUAGUUUCACUUUUUGAUCACCCAUAUUAUGCUCAUUCAUGUUCAACUCAAUUCACACAUCUAAGUAAUGAAUUAGGCCUAAUAAUAAAAUUUAUAAAGGCAAAAGUAUUGUGCAGAUCAAAACAGAAGAGCAUUAUUGGCAUGGGAUAAGCGUUGCGAGAUUGUUAUGGGGAUAGCACGAGGGCUUCUCUACCUCCAUCAAGACUCUAGAUUUCAAAUUAUUCACAGGGAUCUCAAGACAAGCAAUAUUUUACUGGAUGACAAUCUCAACCCUAAAAUUUCAGACUUUGGCUUGGCAAGAAUUUUUGGAGAGAAUGAAAUGGAAACGAGAACAAAGAGAAUUGUUGGGACUUAGUGAGUAAUAAACCUUUAUAAUCUUAUAAAAUGGAAUUUAUCCCUUCAAAGAACUUAUACUUGAAAAUGUUGGUGCAGUGGCUAUAUGUCCCCGGAGUAUGUGAUUGAUGGGCACUUUUCUAUCAAAUUGGAUGUCUUUAGCUUUGGUGUUCUUUUACUAGAGAUUGUCAGUGGUGAAAAGAACAGAGGGUUCUCUCAUCCAGAUCACCACCAUAACCUUCUGGGACAUGUAAGUAGAAAGACCGCAAUGGUGUUUCCUCUCUCUCUCUCUCUCUCUCAAUUUGUCUCUACUCUCUAGCUUUUUCUAGGUUUUGUGAAAGACAACAAAUAUGAUUUUUGUUCUAGGCAUGGCUGCUGUGGGAACAAAACAGGGCCUUGGAAUUAAUGGAUGCAUGUUUGGAAGAUUCAUGUGUUGCAUCGCAAGUAUUACGAUGCAUACAAGUAGGUUUACUAUGUGUUCAAAACCUUCCAGCAGACAGACCAGCAAUGUCAUCAGUGAUUUUCAUGUUGGGUAACGAGGGAGCAACAUUGCCUCAACCUAAACAUCCUGGUUUCUUCACAGAAAGAUCUUCCGUGGAUACAGAUACAAUGUCAGGAAAGAUAGAGUUACAUUCAGAAAAUGCAGUAACCAUCUCAAUGCUAAAAGGUAGAUAAAGAAUUCAAACACUGCUUAGUGAAUUAUUUAUGUAGGUGCCAGCUUCUCUGACUAAAACGGGCUGCAAAGGUUCCUCUGUUGUGGCUCAGGGCACUGUAAUCUGCAACUUAAGAUUCACUAGUAUUCUAAAUUCAGAUUCCCUCUGGAUCAGGUUGGUAAUAAGCAGAAGAACAUGUAUUCUACAGUCACCUUAUGUGCUACUGUCUCUCUCAUUUUUGCCUUUUCUCCUCAGGAUGCAUAGGGCUUAUAUGAUUAGUGAACUGUACACAAAACUAUAAUCCGGUUCUAACCAUUUAAUUUCAAUUAUCUUGAGAAUUUUUGAAGGUCUAAAAUCCUUUGAAACAUCAAUAGGAAAUGCAGAUCAGAUAGUAAAAACUAGUCAAAUAAGGCUUCUUCUUGUGACUGUUAUAAAGCCAUAGGAUGAUGGCUUGGAAUAAUUUCAGGCAAAUGGGGAAAAGAAUUGAAAAUCAACAAAGAUAAGUUAGAAUCAGAUGACUUCAUCUGAAUUCUGUUGUCUCUUUGUAAAAAGAACAUUUAAAAGUACACUGAAAAUUACAGUGUAUUCAGCAGUAGGUAAUGUGCUUCUUCAAGAUCUCUCAACAUGAAACUAAAAGAGUUCUUUCUUAAGUUCAUUUUGGCAAGGUCUAAGGUUUCUUUGGGUUUGUAAAUUUAUCUUUGGUAGCUUUUGUGAAUGGCUUGCCUUUCAGUUAGAAGCCUCCUAUGUCAAAAAACACAUACACACACACACACAAAGAAUCAUCAUGCCAAAUGACGAUUUUUCUUCAAGUUAGUAUCAUUGGAACCAACAAUUCAUAAAAGAAUUCCUUGCAAAACAUGAUAAUUCUAAUUAAUCUAAUUAAUAUAUCUCACCAUGCUGUAUAUUUCAAACCUCUUCUUUUUCAUGUUUCCGGAAAAACAUCAAAGAUUUUUGGAAAAUAUUGACUGAAUAAGUUAGUACACAGUGGGAGCACCAUAAUGACAGCUCUCAACCUUAUAAGAGAAAGGAUUGGGGAAAUAUUUGGUCCCCAUAUGAGAACUAAGGAUGUUUCAGAAAUAAUAAUUAAUUUAAAAAGCAACGCACAGAAUAAAGUUUCUUACUCCACAAGAUAUUUCUUAUGUUGCAGGCAUAUUACAGCUGCACAAACAUGGUGCACUUGUAGCUGUUUUGAUCCAUCUGUGAAAAGUACUAUCUUUCCUAAAUCCCUCAUAAAAACAAGACUUCACUUGUUCAUGAUCUAUACCUGUAUAUUUUCAUUUAUCUUCUAAAAUCUAUCUUAUCUGCAAUAGAAAUGUUGACGGGGUAUCAUCGCUGCCUUCGUUUUUGCCUUGGUUUCUUUCUUAAUCCUCUUUGAAUUCUUGAUUGCAUUGCUGCUAUAGCUAAGAGUUAAUCUUUAAGUGAUGGUGAGACUUUAGUAUCCUCAGGCCAAAGCUUUGAGCUAGGCUACUUCUCUCCUGGAAAGUCAGAGAACAGGUGCUUAGGAAUAUGGUACAAAAGUACCCCAAAGACAGUUGUUUGGGUUGCAAACAGAGACGACCCAAUAGCAGAAUGUUACAGGAUUUUAACCAUCAAGAGUAGCAGAGAAUACAGUUGCACCGCUCCUAGAUACUGGAAACCUACUUCUCAGGGAUGGCAUUCAAGAGAGUUCUCUGAGUUAUUUAUGGCAGACCUUUGAUUAUCCAACAGACACAAUGUUAGCAGGAAUGAAGAUAGGCAGGAACUUAAAGACUGGCUUAGAACGAUAUUUAAAAUCAUGGAAAAGUGCUGAUGUUCCAUCUAUCGGAGAUUUCACUUAUAGAAUUGAAGUUCGUUGGCUUUCAAAAAUGAAAAGAUGGGUCAAGUUGAGAUUGGGUCAUUUGGGUUUGAAAAAGUUCGAAAUUUCUUAAAUCAUAGAGUGGCAAAGAGAGUAGGGUGAUGAACCCAUUUGGUUGUGGAAGAUUUCCUUCACUUGGGCAUGUGUUUUAUUCAAACGAUGCGUUUUACUCUGUAGAGGAAGAGGAAACGGAGAAAAUCGAGUGCUUAUUUGAACUGAGCUUUAAAGUGACCAAAACGAUGCGUUUUGAUGGAGGGCGUAGAAAACGGAGGAAAUUUUGCAUCUUGAUCUGUCACAGAUAAUUUUGAUUUAAGAAUUUUGGAAUAACUACUUUUGCUUAUGUGGCAGCAUUUGGUUGGUCACUGCCAUCUGCGGCAAAACACUCACAGUAGAGAAGCUAGACUCAGGUGAAUUUCCCGCCGACUUGGCCGUUUAUAUAUAACCCCUACAACCCCAACAACCAACUUAUACCCAGUUAGAGAGAGAUAGUUGGUGUUGUAGUUAGGACUCAGAAGUGAUUUUCAGCUAUAAGUUUUCACGGGAACCAAACACCAAGAUCAUCGAGAAGAUGGACUUCCACCCUUUGCAGGUUUCACCACUGCCAAGGAAAGAUCAAGAUCUCCAAGAAUACAUCAACGUAGUACCAGAAGAAUAUGUGGCCAUUGAAGACCACUUGGAGAAUCCCAAUUUUCAACUUCACGUCCGUGAAAUCAUAAAGGUGACGCCAAUAAUUAAUAAGAACAAUCUUCACUUCUUUUUUUGUUUUUUUGUUUUUUGUUUUUUCAUAAUCUUUUUAGUUCUGAA
This 16067-nucleotide long non-coding RNA is filed under the name Vitis vinifera (wine grape). Its description in RNAcentral is "long non-coding RNA (VVIN_LNC006447)". Lineage: Eukaryota; Viridiplantae; Streptophyta; Magnoliopsida; Vitales; Vitaceae. The record is from RNAcentral.